Molecule: non-coding RNA, 334 nt
Organism: Pelobates cultripes (western spadefoot toad)
Lineage: Eukaryota; Metazoa; Chordata; Amphibia; Anura; Pelobatidae
Source: the annotation of a GenBank genome assembly
CUCAAAUACCUGACCCAGCAAUGAUGCACACACUUCACACAACUACACAAUAACUUCAAAAAGAAUUGAACUACACCCAACCACUACGCAAGCCCACGUACGAAACCCAGUACCAGUCCCCCAUUAGGAGGUAACGCCAAACUUGCUGACUAGGCCACCUAAAAUGAGAAACAAGAAGGAAGGCAAAGCUAACACUCCACAUUGCCCUCCCUACUCCACCUCUCACGUGCUAGAAAGAUACACUCGGCACUGCACAUGCUCACAUGCCUGACCAUGGCCCACUGCACUCACUAGGCACCAAAGCAAGACACCACAAAGCCACAUUAAAUAUGGC